This 248-nucleotide unclassified non-coding RNA is filed under the name fungal sp. Its description in RNAcentral is "partial contains small subunit ribosomal RNA, internal transcribed spacer 1, and 5.8S ribosomal RNA". The stretch from base 1 to 46 matches the Rfam family "Eukaryotic small subunit ribosomal RNA", at positions 1786 to 1831 of the family's 1831-position model. RNAcentral also lists the same sequence under 1 other name. Lineage: Eukaryota; Fungi. The record is from RNAcentral.
AAGUCGUAACAAGGUCUCCGUUGGUGAACCAGCGGAGGGAUCAUUACAGAGUUGCAAAACUCCCAACCAUUGUGAACCUACCUCACCGUUGCUUCGGCGGGUGGCCCCGGGGCAACCCGGAGCCGCGCCGGCCCCGCUCUCGGGGCUCGGCAAACCCGUCAGAAGACCGAAACUCUCCGUCAUCAGUGGCCUCUCUGAGUAACUUAUACAAUAAGUCAAAACUUUCAACAACGGAUCUCUUGGUUCUG